CUACGCACACUGGCCCCGUAGCCGAAUUGGCCGCAGAAAUGUAGUCUGGCUCUGUCGCGCGAAUACGCAAGAGCGAUAGAGAUAGAUAGCUACGAAAGAGAUAUAGUGAGCGUUUGUGCAUUCGCUUGACAAACACUUACUAUAACAUCGUAGCUAGUUAUAGUAUGAAUUUUCUGAGAUGCACUC
This is a long non-coding RNA of Leguminivora glycinivorella, 186 nucleotides long. RefSeq lists it as uncharacterized. The record is from RefSeq and is a predicted model, not a curated record. The transcript has 3 exons. Lineage: Eukaryota; Metazoa; Arthropoda; Insecta; Lepidoptera; Tortricidae.